RNAcentral lists this transfer RNA (16 nucleotides) under Entodon flavescens. RNAcentral describes it as "partial tRNA-Phe". Lineage: Eukaryota; Viridiplantae; Streptophyta; Bryopsida; Hypnales; Entodontaceae. The record is from RNAcentral.
AAAAAAGCCGGAAUAG